Molecule: long non-coding RNA, 6799 nt
Organism: Oncorhynchus tshawytscha (Chinook salmon)
Lineage: Eukaryota; Metazoa; Chordata; Actinopteri; Salmoniformes; Salmonidae
Source: Ensembl
GCCAUUUCCCUGUGGCACAUUUCUCUGUGGGUGUCACCGUCGUUCCAUUUGGCUGCAGCUGAAAACGUAUGAUCCGGUUGGAACGUUAUUGAAUAUAUAUGAAAAUAACAUCCUGAAGAUUGAUUCUCUACUUAGUUUGACCAGUUUAUUCGACCUGGAAUAUAUCUUUUUGAAGUUUUCGUCCGAGUUUUCCUGGACCAGUGUCAGCUUUUGGGCACGUGAGCUGAAAGUGCUAGCAAAUGCAGCUAAUUGGACACUAGUAUUGGACAUUAUGGAACAAAACAAUGAUUUAUUGUGGAACUAGGACUCCUUGCACUGCAUUCUGAUGAAAGAUCAUCAAAGGUAAGGGAAUAUUUAUGAUGUAAUUUCGUAUUUCUGUUGACUCCAACAUGGCUGAGAAAUAUAUAUAUGUCUGACACAGCGGUUGCAUUAAGAACCUUUAAUUAUAUGUAGAACAUGUAUCUUUAGUCAAAGUUUAUGAUGAGUAUUUCUGUUAUCUGGCGUAGCUUUCUAUAAUUCCUCCGGAUAUUUUGGAGGCAUUUCUGAACAUGGUGUCAAUGUAAACGGAGAUUUGUGGAUAUAAAUAUGGAUAUUAUCGAACAAAACAUAAAUAUAUUGUGUAACAUGUCAUAUGAGUGUCAUCUGAUGAAGAUUUUCAAAAGGUUAGUGAUUCAUUUUUAUCUCUCACCCUGCUUUUGUGACUCUAUCUUUGGCUGGGGAAAAUGGCUGUGUUUUAUUUUAUUUGGUGGUGGUCUAACAUAAAUAUAUGUUGUGUUUUCGCUGUAAAACAUUUAAAAAAUCGGACAUGAUGGGUAGAUGAACAACAUGUUUAUCUUUCAUUUGCUGUGUUGGAAUAUUUUUGAAUUCCCUGCGCCACCUUUUCAGCUGAAUUGGGGGGGGGUUCCCCUAGGGGAUCGCCUUGCCAUAACAGGUUUUAAGGGGAAGGGAUCUAAGAGAGAAGGGAAAAAUGGACAGGAUCAGACAAUAGAAAGUGUUUCAAUUGUGAUAAGACAGGACAUUUCACCAGGGAGUGUAAGGCUCCCUGUAAACAUUGUGACCGAGUAGGGCACAGCCACCGAAACUGCAAACAUAAGGGGAAGAACAGGCGCAACAACCGGGAGAGAAAGAGAGAGAUGGAGACAACGAGAGCAAGAGUAAUGAGAGUUGUCGCCUGAGUAACGCUUGGAUCUUUAAAGUAGGGCAAUUUCCUAGGAAUUGUCUCGGUAGUACGUUCCUGAUUUUAUUCACUACAGACAAUUAUAAAUGGGGUUAUUUGCGGGGAGUCUUCAUCAUUUCAAAAGCUUUGGUGGUUCAGUGGUAGAAUUCUCGCUUUCCACAUGGGAGGCCCGGGUUUGUUUCCCGACCUAUGCACCAAUUGACUAAAAUCUGUGUUUCUAAUUCUACUAUUGGUAUGUUUUGUCUGGAAAGAUACGGCCGCUAGUGUUUGUUUAAGAUAUAAACUGAAUGUUUUAAUAGCUUGUUUAGUUUAAAUUGAAAGACGAAUUCAUUCAAAAUAAUAGCGAGGCGAUUUCGAUUUAAAGUCAUUUGUAAUACUGAUUUUAAGGUCAUUUAAUUUGUGUAAUUGAUAAUUAUGAUGGAGAUUAAAGUUCUUAGACAUUUGGACCAAUGAGAAGAAAGAAAGGGCAUAGCCUUUGACUAAGGGGGUAGGCUUCCUUAAUAAGUCUAUUUUCCUAUGACCAUCAGGGUACAAUAAUUGGGUUUAUAAAAAAUAGUCAUAAGGUUAUUUUGAAACUCCCACUAUUUUGGCUUAAGUAAUGUUUAGUAACCUAGCUAUGUUUUAUUUUCCCUUAGGUAGUCGGCUGUUGUUGUAUGCAGAUGAUAUUUUUGUGAGAAAUUUAACACAACAAGGCUGUGAAAUUGAUAUAGUAUAAUUAUAUUUUGUUGUUGAAUAACUUUGUUGUUGAAUAAGGUUAUAAAGUUAGUAAGAAUAAGUUAGGUUAAGUAUUUAAGAUAUAUUUUAAGCCUGAAGGAGUAAGAAUAAAUGGGGAAAAGAUUUUGUCUGCUCCAUAGGUUCUAAAAACAGGAGAAGUCGGGAGGGCAGGCAUGUAUUCCAGUCCGUAUCUCCAGGUUAUGUUUAGUUAAUCUGUUGGGAAAAGAUGCAAUGACUCUGUUGAAUGUGGCCGUCACCCCCACAGAAAGCCCGAGGCCAUAAAAGAGAUUACUCCAACCUUUGAAGAUUUGGUAGAGGGGGGUGUAAUUAGAGAAGGAGAUGCACAGUGCAAUUCUCCAAUGUUCCCCGUAAAGAAAGCAGCCCCCAGUAAUGAUUGGAGAAUGGUAUUAGACUUACAAAGAGGGAUUCACAUGUUGUUUAAACAAUUGAAAAUAGAAAAUACCUAUUGUUCUGUCUACCAAUCUUACCAAAGACACUGUUGACAUAUGCAGCAAUAUUGACACGUGGGCAGAGCCACGAUUAUGGUAGCUAAAACAUUAGGUCCAGAUAUUAUCCCUAGAGUUGGUUUACUAGGAUCUAUUUCUUUAAACAAAGGUUGGCAUUUUAGCUAAUCAGGUAGACCAUAUAGAAUGCCAGAGUUAGGGAGACCAGAACGGACCGACAUAGAAAUUGAAGAUAUACUAGCAGAACGCAUGAGAAGACUGUUAGUAACCACACCCGUAUGUCAAAGAUUUUAUGCCCAACAGGAGAGUUGCAGAAGGAGAUAACACACAAGAUCCAACCAGGAGAAUGGGUCUGGGUCCAAUCCCUAAAGAAAAAAGACUGGAAACAGCCACGGUGGGACGGACCAUACCAACUGCUACCUAUCCAAUAUACAGCAAGAUCCUCUGGGUUGGGUUGGCACCCCCCUUGGGUUGUGCCGUGGCGGAGAUCUUUGGGCUAUACUUUGCCUUGUCUCAGGAUGAGGACACUAGGACCAUACCUCAGGACUACCUGGCAUGAUGACUCCUUACUGUCCCCAGUCCACCUGGCCGUGCUGCUGCUCCAGCUUCAACUGUUCUGCCUGCGGCUAUGGAACCCUGACCUGUUCACCGGACGUGCUACCUGUCCCAGACCUGCUGUUUUCAACUCUCUAGAGACAGCAGGAGCGGUAGAGAUACUCUCAAUGAUCGGCUGAAAAUCCAACUGACAUUUACUCCUGAGGUGCUGACUUGUUGCACCCUCGACAACUACUGUGAUUAUUAUUAUUUGACCAUGCUGGUGAUUUAUGAACAUUUGAACAUCUUGGCCAUGUUCUGUUAUAAUCUCCACCCGGCACAGCCAGAAGAGGACUGGCCACCCCUCAUAGCCUGGUUCCUCUCUAGGUUUCUUCCUAGGUUUUAGCCUUUCUAGGGAGUUUUUCCUAGCCACCGUGCUUCUACACCUGCAUUGCUUGCUGUUUGGGGUUUUAGGCUGGGUUUCUGUACAGCACUUUGAUGUAUCAGCUGAUGUAAGAAGGGCUAUAUAAAUACAUUUGAUUUGAUUUAGGCAGGCCCACAUUAUUUUAGCCAUGCAGGUCCCAUUUUGGAUGAGUGUAAAACACUCCAUAGUCUGCGUUGUCUUAAUAUUAUAUGAUGGUGCCUGUAAGUGUGACAUAGCCUAUUAAAAACAAGUAGUUGUUUUGUUUAGAAUUUGAUUAGAAUGACUUGUUCUCUUUUUAGGCCUUAUCAAUAAUGAAUUGAAUCUUGCUUAUUGACAGUGUUUGAAAUGUUCAUGCUCAUCCAUAAUGUACUUUACAGUAGGCCUAGCCCGAUAUCAGUGCGAAUGCUAUUGGAGCCAUGCAAUAACUUAGAACAAUGUGGACUGCAGAUGGGUUCAAGUGAACCUAUUUAGCAAAGACGGGAUAGGUCUACAUUUUGUUAUUUCGUUUCUGUAAGCCAUUUAACAAACUAUAACGGACUAUAUCAUUGGAAUUGGAGUUGUUUCCAAAGCAAUACAUACAAGACCGUAUAUACACCAUGGAGCACGUUCUGAUUGGCCAGUGAGGGGCUAAGCUUCGACACCCACAACUUGUUAAUUCAUCAAAACUCAGCCCUUUUGCACCAAUGCCAGAAUGUGCGCCAAUUGUGAUAGUGAAAAUAUAACAAAUAUUUCUGACACACCACUGAACCUAUAGCUCUACCGCCUGUUCUUAGAUUUAUCAUUGCGUUAAGUUUUAUUACAAUAGAGCCCUUAGGGUCAGACUGUUAAUUAUUUCAUAAAGCUGACUGCCAAUCUUUGUCAGACCUUGUGUUGGAGGAGAAAAAGUAUGAUGAGUCCCUCACUAUAUAUAUAUAUAUAUGAGUGUAUGAAACAAUAGGAACACCUUCCUAAUAUUGAGUUGCACCCCCUUUUGCACUCAGAACAGGCUCAAUUCGUUGGGGCCUGGACUCUAUACAUGAAGAUAGGAGAGGAGUCUGUUCCACUCUGCCAUCAUGACAUCCAUCCCCAUCACUUUAUUGUCCAUGUGCACCCCAGCAAGAAUGGAAUCAUGAUAUUUGCAAAAGCCCUGAAAGACAGAGAAAGAGAAAGAGAGAACCACCUCCAAUAACUACAAGGCCAGAGACUGCCCAGCCUGGAGCCCCAGGGCCAUUCCACAGCACACAAGGAGCUAAAAGCUGCAUGUAGCCCACGACACCCCUGGUCCCAGGCUACAUUCUGUCCCUGGUUUUCAUGUACCCCCCCCCCCAAAUAGUUUUGACAGUGAAUAUAUGAAUGUAACACACAUGUAUUGUUAUUUUCCUUUAACAACAAUGGCCACAGAAACAGGAUAUGGAACAGGCUCUCUGGCCACUGGAAAAGGUUCUGGCUGAGGUCCGCUAGCGUCAGGGGUUCUGGCCCACUGGCUGCUGAAGAUUCUGGGGGAGGUCUACUCGCCUCUGUAUGUACUAGCUCACUGGCCAUCGCGGAAGGUUCUGGAGGACCACUAGCUUUCCAAGGUUAGGGUACGUAGGGUAACCUGGGAAAGAAGUCUGGUUGCCCCCUGGGAAUGGGCCUGGCUGGCUGCAUGGGCUGCUGCAGACCUGAAAGACUGGACGUGAGUAAGGAUCGUGGAUUGGAGGGAAGAGGUCCCUGAAGCAAUAACAGUUGGUUGUAUUCAUUAAUGUCAUAUUGGGUGGAAGCUACUAAAGUUUUAAGGAAGUAUUCUUUAAUGUAAAGUACAUUUAAAUUUAUAACAAUAAUAGCCGGUGUCAAAAAAUGUAAGGAAUUGCCGUAGAUCGUACAGUCAUGUCCUCCCAAUCAAUAACAGUCAUAUGGGGUGGACGGUAUUUAAGUUUUUAGCAAGUUUUUUAAUAUAUUUUUUUACAUAUACUAAAAUUAAUUUAAAAUAGCCAAAGUAAAAACAUUUUUAAAAAGUAAUUGCCGUAGAUGGGAGGGAAGAGGUCCCUAAACCAAUAACAAUUGGUUGUUUUCAUGCAAGUGAUAUACGGUAGAAGCUAUUGCUGUAUUAAGGAAGUGUAUUUGGCAUAUUCUGAUAUUAAAUUAAUUGAAAAUAGCCAAAGUUCAAAAAUACAACUGUCAUUUCCAUAGAUUGUACAGACGAAGUCCCUGAAUCAAUAACAAUUGGUUGUAGUAUUCAUGCAAGCUAUAUGGGGUUGAAGCUAUAUAUGUUUUAAGGAAUUAUUGUUUUUAACAAAUUAAAACAUUUUAUUAAUUGGAAACAGCCAAAGUAAAAAAAAUAAAGAAGCAUUUGUAAUAUUUCUAAGUCAUGUGGUAAGAAAUCUAUUGAAGUCUUUCUGUUAGCAUUAGGUUUCAAUUGCCCUUUUAAGACGGUCCCUUAGCUGUGACUACACUUAGAAAUUUGUAUUUUAUUUUUAUUUUUUAUUUUUUUUACAUAUGAUAUUAAAUUAAUUGGAUGGGAGAGUAGAGGUCCCUGAAUGUAUUUCAGUUGGGUUGAGUUCUCUUUCAUUUGGUUACAAAGCUAUUUAAGUUUUUCAGUUAACACUACAUUUUAAUUGCACUUUAAGCAGUGGCGUGUAUUCAUGGAUGCCAAGGGAAGCCAGGCUUCCCCCCCCAAAAUUGACCAAACAUUAAUUUAAAAAAUGGACAAUGGCAAUAACAUCCGCUAAAUAUGUGUAUGUGACCAACGUUUUUAUUUUUUUAUUUUAUGCAAUAUGCUUUGUGGACUUCACUGGACAGAGGUUGCUAUCUGGUUUUGUGAUUUAAAAAAAAGUGUGGUUGAAUUUAUUCUGUCACUGUCUUAUUGUCUCGGCCUUUAGGCCUAUAUAUCACGGUCGCAAGGCCGAUUAAGUAACCGGUUAUAGAGCAAACAAGCAAUUAUCACAACACAGGUUGUACUUUUUUGCAGGGAGGGGGGUUUAUCCUCGCACUACUACUGCUUUUAAGACAGUCCCUUAGCUGUGACUACACGGAUAAUCAGCCAUAGAAAUGUACAUAAAAUAUUUUUGGGGAAAACAGAACGGAACAGAAUACUCAAUAGUGUUGCUGUGGACACUGGAUACUCUGACUAACACACACACCUGUUUGACCUUGCUGUGAUACCUUAGGCCUACUUAUGUUACUUUUCUGAGUCAAUUCAGGUAGCAUUCAAUAUCCUGCAUGCAUUUUUGUUAAACCAUGGCAACCAGCAUUGCAAAUGAAGAGAUGUGCAUAAAUAUAAUCAUCCUCUGUCUGUAGAUCCUUUCCCCUUAAUGUAUUUGUCAUGUCAGCCAGGCCAAUCUUUUCAAAGUAACAAUAUCUAGUUGAGUAAAAUAAGGAGUCUAUUGCUUCAUUCCUUGUUUCGUUUUUACUUGUUACCUGGUAAAUAACCAACAACCAUCGUGAGGAAACAGUCCAUGUAAGGUGAGGAAACAGUCCAUGUAAGGUGAGGAAACAGUCCAUGUAAGGUGAGGAAACAGUCCAUGUAAG